This is a non-coding RNA of Cordylochernes scorpioides, 72 nucleotides long. Lineage: Eukaryota; Metazoa; Arthropoda; Arachnida; Pseudoscorpiones; Chernetidae. The record is from the annotation of a GenBank genome assembly.
UGUCUGGGGGGAAAUCGAACCCAUAGUGUUCGCUUACCAGGCAGAUGCCAUGUCCACUAGGCUACCCUGGAC